Molecule: ribosomal RNA, 253 nt
Filed under: uncultured bacterium
Lineage: Bacteria
Description: partial 16S ribosomal RNA
Rfam family: Bacterial small subunit ribosomal RNA
Source: RNAcentral
UACAGAGGUCUCAAGCGUUGUUCGGAUUCAUUGGGCGUAAAGGGUGCGUAGGUGGCGUGGUAAGUCGGGUGUGAAAUUUCGGAGCUUAACUCCGAAACUGCAUUCGAAACUGCCGUGCUUGAGGACUGGAGAGGAGACUGGAAUUUACGGUGUAGCAGUGAAAUGCGUAGAUAUCGUAAGGAAGACCAGUGGCGAAGGCGGGUCUCUGGACAGUUCCUGACACUGAGGCACGAAGGCCAGGGGAGCAAACAGG